CUUUCUCUCCUUUUUUUUUAUUUUUUUAUUUUUUUUUUAUCUUGUUCUUUACCUGUGUUUCUCUUUCUGCUACUCUCUUCCUUCCUCUUAGUGGUGGAUCUUAAAUUACGAUGGAGUACGGCGGUGGUCGCAAUAGAGGCAGGCCUGAGGCUGCUUUGAAUGGCAAUGGUGGCCCUAAGAAAACCCAACAAGGGAAAAAAAGCAUUAACUUCAUCAGGAGGAGGAGAUCAUGCGUGCAUGAGGGAAAAUCAAGUGUGAAUUCUCUAGCAAUGCAUUGAGGAGGAGGUAUCGCGCCUCAGGUAACAGAGUGAAGAGCAGUUUCACUCUAUGUAGGAGGAGAUGAGGUAGAUGGCGUAUCAUCCCGCCCUUAAAGUGAUUCUGUUGAUCCCCAUGAUCAGAGCACGCUGAAUCUAUAGCUUGAUCAUGUUUAUACACAUUUGCUAAUUGAACUUGUUACUUGUAUGGUUAACUUUGUACUUUUAUAUAAUAUAUGGUAUUUUUAUUUUCUAA
Hevea brasiliensis (rubber tree) is the source of this 510-nucleotide long non-coding RNA. RefSeq lists it as uncharacterized. The record is from RefSeq and is a predicted model, not a curated record. The transcript has 2 exons. Lineage: Eukaryota; Viridiplantae; Streptophyta; Magnoliopsida; Malpighiales; Euphorbiaceae.